AUAUAAACUAGUCAUCAAAUGAGAAGGAAGUGAUGAAAGAACAGGAAAAAAACCAACUAAAUAAUUCUUGGUCCAUGGAAAAGACCAACAAAAUGGCACAGUAGAUAGAGUUAGGAUGACCCAAAUUCAAAUCUGGCUUCCACACUUGCUAGUUAUGUUACUCCAGGGACAAAUCACUUAAUCUCUCUAAAUUUUCCCAAGUGUGAAUUGGGGAUAAUCUUAGCAUUUAUCUCCCAAGGACUGUUGUGGUGAUCAAAUGAGAUUAUUUGUAAAGUACUUACUUAACUGUCAUUUGUUCUCUAUGCUAGAAAUCUAUCAUGAUAUCAGGAAGGUGAUGCCAGCACAUGCAAGUGAAUUAGAUUUACAUGAUGGAGGGCUGUGCAAGGUCACCUGCCUCACUUUCUCUCCCCACUCCCCUUCAGUUAUUUGGGUCCAGUGGCAAGAAAGAGAUCAAGAUGCCUAGAAUUGGCCAGUGCCCAACACAAAAUUCUAGGUCCUUAAUAAAAGCUUGCUUUUUCCCUUCCUUCCCCUGGGUAUGCUUAUGACAUUAUCACUUUCUGAAUAUUAGGCCAAAAUUUUAGAGGUAAUCUGGGAUAGUAAAUAGAUUAGUAAAAUGCAAAACAAAGUCCUGCUUCUGAUACAUGUUGACUACAUGACCCCAAGCAAGUCACUUCACCUGUGUCUCAGGCACCUCCCCAUAACUUUCUCAAGUUACAGAUUUUAAUUUGCAUUGAAAGGGAAUUUUUGCCGUCUCCCCAUAAAGAACAAACCACAUUUUCUUCUUGUUUUUCUACAUGCAUUUUUUCUUUGUUUUCCUAUUUUUUCCUACUACUUUUUAAAUGAGUUGUUUUUAACUCCAAAUUAAUUAGAAACAAUGUAGUAAAAAAAAAAAAAAAUGGGGAUUAGAGUAGAUGACUUCUGAAGUCCCUUAUAAUUCUGAUUCUAAGUGAUCUGCAAUAUCUCUAAAUGUGAGAUCACAUAGUAGUGAGGUGGUUCAGAGAACAGAGCACCAGACAGAGUUAAUUAGUUCAUUUUCUGGUCUUAGUCACUUAUCUACAUUAAUUUCACCAUCAAUAAAAUGGGGAUAAUAGCACUUAUCUUGCAGGGCUGUAGUGACCCAGGUGCAUAGAAGGUGCUUAAUUAAUGCUUAUUUCCUUCUUCCCUUCCUGUGACAGUUCCAAUUACCUUCAAGCCUAGUGUAGAAGAAAGAAUUCUUAUUGGAUGAGGAAUCAAAAGAUCUCUUUUCUAGCCCCAGCUUAGACAUGUAUUAGCUGUUUAAUCCUGAAUGACAUUUCACCUUUAUGGGUGUUCUGCAUAAUCCCUCUUCCCUUUUCCCUCUACACCUGCUCUCUUGGGACCUCAUCAGCUCCCAAAAGUUUAAUGAUCAUCCAGAAAUUACCAUAUCUAAACAUCCAAGACUUAAUCCCAAAUUUCCCAUUGGACAUUUCCAAUAGUGUUCUGUAGGCACUUUGAACUCAAUACAUCUCUAAAUUUAAAAUAAAAUUCAUUAUCUAUCUCCCACCCCAUUCUUCUCCCAACCUUCCUUAUUCCAGUCAGGAACAUCAACCUCCUAAUCACCCAAGUUUACAAUCGUGGUUAUCAUCUUUAUUCACUUUUUGACUCCCCAUAUCACCUAACAAAUCUUAUCAUUUCUAACCCCACAACAUCUCUUGCAGAUAUUUCUUCCUUUCUCCAGUUAUCCCCUCUUGCCUGGACUAUUUGAUUUCCCUGAAUUGUCUCUCUUUCCAUCCAAACCAUCCUCCAUACAGCUGCCAAGAUAUUUUCCCUAAAAUAUGUUUGACAUUUAAAGCUCUUCACUACCUUGGGCCCUUCCUACACUUUAAUCCCCUUCUCUUCAGUUCAGUAAUACUAGCCUACUGCCACAUAUAAGCUACUCCAUCUCCCAUCAUCAUGCCUUUGCACUGAACAGUAUGAAGUUGGUCUAGAA
RNAcentral lists this long non-coding RNA (1948 nucleotides) under Sarcophilus harrisii (Tasmanian devil). RNAcentral's name for it is "lncRNA (ENSSHAG00000031102.1)". The record is from RNAcentral. Lineage: Eukaryota; Metazoa; Chordata; Mammalia; Dasyuromorphia; Dasyuridae.